This 73-nucleotide transfer RNA is filed under the name bioreactor metagenome. Its description in RNAcentral is "tRNA-Gln". It matches the Rfam family "tRNA". Rfam says of the family: Transfer RNA (tRNA) molecules are approximately 80 nucleotides in length. Their secondary structure includes four short double-helical elements and three loops (D, anti-codon, and T loops). The record is from RNAcentral.
UGGGGCAUGGUGCAAUGGCAGCACACCAGACUUUGAAUCUGUGAAUCUUGGUUCGAAUCCAGGUGCCCCAGCC